RNAcentral lists this long non-coding RNA (1639 nucleotides) under Pan troglodytes (chimpanzee). Its description in RNAcentral is "long non-coding RNA NONPTRT015799". The record is from RNAcentral. Lineage: Eukaryota; Metazoa; Chordata; Mammalia; Primates; Hominidae.
GGAAUAGCCUCCUGGCGUAGUGGGAGGUGAGGAGCUUUUUUUGUUUUCCUUUUAUUUAUUUUAGGGACAGUGUCUUGCUCUGUUGCCAAGUUAAGUGCAGUGGUAUGAUCAUGAGCUCACUGCAGCCUUGACAUGGUGGGAAAGCCAUCCUCCCACCUCAGCCUUUCGAGUAGCUGGGACUACAGGUGUGUGCCACCAUGCCCAGAUGCCCAGCUAAUGUUUGUAUUUUUUGUAGAGAUGGGGGUCUCACUAUGUUGCCCAGGCUGGCCUCAAGCAAUCCUCCCACCUGAGCCCCGCAAAGACUCGGAUUACAGGUGUGAGUCACUGCGCCUGGCCGGGAGCUUUAAUUUUUCCUACUUGUUAACAGCGUUAUGGGGCUGGGAGGAGGCUCUCAGAUUUCCCUGCCCUCCUCACAUCCCCCAACCCCCCCUGGGCGUGGGGGUGUCAAGCAUGAGUCAGGCUGAGCCUGACUCUGAAGCUGUUCCCAGUUCUUUAGUCUAAACUUCAAAUCUUCAACCAACUCUGUUCCCUAAUCCAACACAUUCCCCAAAUGAAGGGACUGGACGGUGAGAUAUCGGGAAACCCCAUGAAAAUAGAUGCAUAAUAAAGGUGAAAAUCAUUUAAAAUGUUCCCAUUUUUUUUUUUUUUUUUCAAAACAGUCUUGCUCUGUCACCGAGGCUGGAGUGCAGUGGCGUGAUCUUGGCUCACUGCAACCUCCGCCUCCCAGGUUCAAGCAAUUCUCCCACCUUAGCCUCCCGAGUAGCUGGGAUUACAGGUGCGAGUCACCACACCCGGCUAAUUUUUGUAGUUUUUGUAGAGACGGGUUUUCACCGUGUUGGCCAGGCUGGUCUCGAACUCCUGGCAUCAAGUGAUCUGCCCACCUCAGCCUCCCAAAGUGUUAGGAUUACAGGCGUGAGCCACUGUGCCCGGCCCCCAGUAUUUUUUAAGCUCAAAUGAUCCCAUGUCCCCAAGACUGUGACAAACUAAAUAACCAAAAAAGUGUGGCCACGGUCCAGGUGGAAGGGGGCUGCCUGGAGGUACGUUCCCAUCAAAACCUGCUCCUGGGCAGGGUUCACACUGCUCACAGCAUCAGGGGUCAGCCAUCUUCUCUUGAAACCCCGUGAGUUGCAGGAGGCCCUGUUCUGUGCUCCUCAUUUCAAUCCCGGGAUCAGUCAAGUCUGGAGCCAAGGAGGCGGUUCACACGGGUCUUCCCUGGAAGGAGAGGGCGAUCUGCAGCAGUUCCUGGCCCAGCUCUUGCUGCCUCCCUCCAGGGCCAAACUCAGCCGACAGCUCCCGGAAAGUGACGCAGACGCGGCGGGCCUCGAUGUGUCUGCGGUGGAUGGCAUGCUUCCACUGGUGCCGUGCUGCCCCGACUGGGAGAGCUUCCAGGGGUCACGGUCCAUGAGCCGCACCAACUCGGCUUCUUCCUCCCGGGUCACAAAGUCCUCGAUCAGCAUCACUCCUGGGAAGGGGAAGGCCCAGCCCUCAAAGUCAGACUCCUCUGCGCCCACGGCCCAGCCGGUGUUGGAGCAGUAAAUGAAACGGUAUGUUUUCUGCAAAAGAAACACAGGUCCACAGGCUGGGCAACACAGCAAGACCCGGUCCCUACGAAAAGUUAAAACAGGCCAGGUGCGGUGGC